Molecule: transfer RNA, 76 nt
Filed under: Methylacidiphilum sp. Yel
Lineage: Bacteria; Pseudomonadati; Verrucomicrobiota; Methylacidiphilae; Methylacidiphilales; Methylacidiphilaceae
Description: tRNA-Ala
Rfam family: tRNA
About the family: Transfer RNA (tRNA) molecules are approximately 80 nucleotides in length. Their secondary structure includes four short double-helical elements and three loops (D, anti-codon, and T loops).
Source: RNAcentral
GGGGGCAUAGCUCAGCUGGGAGAGCGGCAGCUUUGCAAGCUGUAGGUCAGGGGUUCGAAUCCCCUUGCCUCCACCA